GUCCACGCCAUAAACGAUGAAUACUAGGUGUUGGAGGAUUUAAACCCUUCGGUACCGAAGCUAACGCGCUAAGUAUUCCGCCUGGGGAGUACGACCGCAAGGUUAAAACUCAAAGGAAUUGACGGGGGCCCGCACAAGCAGCGGAGCGUGUGGUUUAAUUCGAUGCAACGCGAAACACCUUACCUGGACUUGACGUGUACGUAGUAGUGAAGCGAAAGCGGAACGACCCUUCGGGGAGCGUAUGCAGGUGCUGCAUGGCUGUCGU
This 265-nucleotide ribosomal RNA is filed under the name uncultured bacterium. RNAcentral's name for it is "partial 16S ribosomal RNA". It matches the Rfam family "Bacterial small subunit ribosomal RNA", at positions 793 to 1055 of the family's 1533-position model. The record is from RNAcentral.